GCGUACGCAACGGNAGGGGCGCCGACCACGGUGAGAUUCAUGACUGGGGUG
Molecule: ribosomal RNA, 51 nt
Filed under: uncultured bacterium
Lineage: Bacteria
Description: partial 16S ribosomal RNA
Source: RNAcentral